Molecule: ribosomal RNA, 818 nt
Filed under: Thalassiosira minuscula
Lineage: Eukaryota; Bacillariophyta; Thalassiosirophyceae; Thalassiosirales; Thalassiosiraceae
Description: partial Bacterial large subunit ribosomal RNA
Rfam family: Bacterial large subunit ribosomal RNA
Source: RNAcentral
ACUUACCAAACCGAUGCAAACUCCGAAUACCAAUGAGUACUAUCCGGGAGACAGACUGCGGGUGCUAACGUCCGUAGUCAAGAGGAAAACAAUCCAGACCGCCAGCUAAGGCCCCAAAAUUAUAGUUAAGUGGGAAACGAUGUGGGAAGGCAUAGACAGCUAGGAGGUUGGCUUAGAAGCAGCCAUCCUUUAAAGAAAGCGUAAUAGCUCACUAGUCGAGUCGGCCUGCGCGGAAGAUGUAACGGGGCUAAACCAUGCACCGAAGCUGCGGCAGCGACACUAUGUGUUGUUGGGUAGGGGAGCGUUCUGUAAGCCGUUGAAGGUGGCCUGUGAGGGUUGCUGGAGGUAUCAGAAGUGCGAAUGCUGACAUAAGUAACGUUAAAGCGGGUGAAAAGCCCGCUCGCCGGAAGACCAAGGGUUCCUGUCCAACGUUAAUCGGGGCAGGGUGAGUCGACCCCUAAGGCGAGGCUGAAAAGCGUAGUCGAUGGAAAACAGGUUAAUAUUCCUGUACUUGUUAUUACUGCGAUGGGAUGACGGAGAAGGUUAGAUCAGCCAACUGUUGGAUAUGUUGGUUUAAGUGUGUAGACGUGUUGAGUAGGCAAAUCCGCUCGACUUAGUUGAGACAUGAUGACGAGCUUCAAUAGAAGUGAAGUGAUUGAUACCCGGCUUCCAGGAAAAGUCUCUAAGCUUCAGGUAAUAACGAACCGUACCCCAAACCGACACAGGUGGAUGGGAUGAGUAUUCUAAGGCGCUUGAGAGAACUCGGGAGAAGGAACUCGGCAAAUUGACACCGUAACUUCGGAAGAAGGUGUGCCUCA